Molecule: long non-coding RNA, 365 nt
Organism: Talpa occidentalis (Iberian mole)
Lineage: Eukaryota; Metazoa; Chordata; Mammalia; Eulipotyphla; Talpidae
Exons: 3
Source: RefSeq, a predicted model, not a curated record
GCAAAUUCUGACAAUGCAAUUGUUACCUUAGUGGGGACACAGAUUCUUGUUGCUUCUUAUUCGGCCAUCUUCUCUGAAUCCCUCAGCGCAUUUGGAAUUGUGUUUGCAGAUGAAUGAUAGUAAGCCAAGCAGGUGCAGCAUGGUGGCAGGCAGAGAAGGACCGGAAGGCUGAGCAUCCCAGAUGGAGGACACAGUCAUAGGCAUGAAACAUGGGAGAUUAUGAGGUUCCGGUUGGUGCAAUCAGUCAAGAAAAAGAAAUAUCCAAAUUGGGAAGGAAGAAGUAAAACUAUCUUUAUUCCCAGAUGACAUUAUUUUCUUUGUUGAAAAUCCAAUGCAAUCUACUCAAUGAGUUCUAUUCUUUGUCC